AUACGGAGGGGGUUAGCGUGGUUCGGAAUUACUGGGCGUAAAGCGCACGUAGGCGGACUGGAAAGUUGGGGGUGAACUCCCGGGGCUCAACCCCGGAACUGCCUCCAAAACUUCCAAUCUAGAGAUCGAGAGAGGUGAGUGGAAUUCCAAGUGUAGAGGUGAAAUUCGUAGAUAUUUGGAGGAACACCAGUGGCGAAGGCGGCUCACUGGCUCGAUACUGACGCUGAGGUGCGAAAGCGUGGGGAGCAAACAGGAUUAGAUACCCUAGUAGUCC
RNAcentral lists this ribosomal RNA (274 nucleotides) under uncultured bacterium. RNAcentral's name for it is "partial 16S ribosomal RNA". It matches the Rfam family "Bacterial small subunit ribosomal RNA", at positions 523 to 796 of the family's 1533-position model. The record is from RNAcentral.